This 384-nucleotide unclassified non-coding RNA is filed under the name Hevea brasiliensis (rubber tree). Lineage: Eukaryota; Viridiplantae; Streptophyta; Magnoliopsida; Malpighiales; Euphorbiaceae. The record is from RNAcentral.
GAGAGAGAGAGAGAAGAAAAGGGAGAGACAGAGACAACUACCAGUUCAAAAAGAUGUAUUCUUUCUCAACAUAUACCUGCAUUCUCCUAAAUUUUUUGAAUCCACUGACUGGCAAUAAGCAAAUCAAGAAAUGCUUUACCAAUAAAGCACAUAAUUACAUGGCAAAUAUGUAUUCCAGGUCCAGGGGAUUUUGGCUCAUCAUGGUAUAAUCCUUAUUCAAUGUGAUAUAUCCUUAAUGGGACCAGUUUAUCCCCAAAUCCUCAUAACCCCAGUUCCUAGGUGUGGCAUUCCUAAUUCGAAAAGCAGCUAUUCAAAACUUCAACUCAUAUCCCAUCCCCCUCACCCCCUGGGAAAAAAAAGGAAGAAGAAAAUAAAUAAAUAAAU